GACGAACCGUCCAACCGUUAUUCGGAAUCACUGGGCUUAAAGGGCGCGUAGGCGGCCGAGCGGGUCACGGGUGAAAUCCUCCAGCUUAACUGGAGAACUGCCCUUGAUACCACUGCGGCUCGAGGAAGGAAGGGGCAAUCGGAACUGUCGGUGGAGCGGUGAAAUGCGUUGAUAUCGACAGGAACGCCGGUGGCGAAAGCGGAUUGCUGGUCCUUGUCUGACGCUGAGGCGCGAAAGCCAGGGGAGCAAACGGG
RNAcentral lists this ribosomal RNA (254 nucleotides) under uncultured bacterium. RNAcentral's name for it is "partial 16S ribosomal RNA". It matches the Rfam family "Bacterial small subunit ribosomal RNA", at positions 524 to 776 of the family's 1533-position model. The record is from RNAcentral.